Molecule: ribosomal RNA, 388 nt
Filed under: uncultured bacterium
Lineage: Bacteria
Description: bacterial SSU rRNA
Rfam family: Bacterial small subunit ribosomal RNA
Source: RNAcentral
GACGAACGCUGGCGGCGUGCUUAACACAUGCAAGUCGAGCGGUAAGGCCCUUUCGGGGGUACACGAGCGGCGAACGGGUGAGUAACACGUGGGUGACCUGCCCUCAGCUCUGGGAUAAGCCUGGGAAACUGGGUCUAAUACUGGAUAUGACUCCACGGUGCAUGUCGUGGGGUGGAAAGCCUUGUGCGGCUGAGGAUGGGCCCGCGGCUUAUCAGCUUGUUGGUGGGGUGANGGCCUACCAAGGCGACGACGGGUAGCCGGCCUGAGAGGGCGACCGGCCACACUGGGACUGAGACACGGCCCAGACUCCUACGGGAGGCAGCAGUGGGGAAUCUUGCGCAAUGGGCGAAAGCCUGACGCAGCGACGCCGCGUGAGGGAUGACGGCCU